CAAUAAACAGGGUUCUUCUAUGGUUUCUUUUUCAGUUCCUGCCUGAGCGCUCCUAUGUUGAGGCCUUCGACAAUGGAGCUGACCUGGAAGUGUCUCAGUUGCUUUUGAUCAGGGUGGCCACUCACAGCAACAGAAAACAAAUCAGACUACAAGUCUAUUCCUUUUUUUCCAUUCUCCCCCAGGUCUCUUUUCAAGAAGAUUUAUUAUUCAGUGCAUCAACAUUUACCAUGGAGGGAACUCUGGACUUAACAGAAUUUCCCUAGUGCUCCUGUCAAUGGGGCCAAACAGCCUGGCCUCCAUUUGCCCUCCCAAUAAAGUAAAAAUGUCCCCACUGAGAUGAUCUUUG
This 346-nucleotide long non-coding RNA is filed under the name Mus spicilegus (steppe mouse). RNAcentral describes it as "lncRNA (ENSMSIG00000019306.1)". The record is from RNAcentral. Lineage: Eukaryota; Metazoa; Chordata; Mammalia; Rodentia; Muridae.